This is a non-coding RNA of Vicia faba (fava bean), 348 nucleotides long. The record is from the annotation of a GenBank genome assembly. NCBI's taxonomy places the organism in Eukaryota, Viridiplantae, Streptophyta, Magnoliopsida, Fabales, Fabaceae.
AUGCUAAAACACGAAGAAACAUACGGAAAAGCGAAAGGAUACAGAAGCUUAGAACUCACCGACCGGAGAAAGUCCGGUGCCUUAUUGACGACAUCGAAGAACGAAAAUCUAGAGAGUAACUUCCAGGACUUGUAUUCAGUUUGGACAGGUUUUCCUUCAAGAUUUGCAAACUCUAGCCCUCAUACAACAAAGUUUUCAAUUUAUUCUAUUUUCCAUUAUUUUUUCAGAAAAGAAUUUUGGCAAAUUAAAACAAGGCAAUGGCAUCAAUUUGAAUCAAACUUAGUGUAUAGAAUUCAAGCUCAUGUGUGGAUAUGUUUUUUCUUUGUAUUGCUUGGAAUUUUCUUGUAA